This 579-nucleotide ribosomal RNA is filed under the name Triticum aestivum (bread wheat). RNAcentral's name for it is "partial small subunit ribosomal RNA". Lineage: Eukaryota; Viridiplantae; Streptophyta; Magnoliopsida; Poales; Poaceae. The record is from RNAcentral.
AUGGUGGUCCAAGAGAGGCUUACACGCACCAACACGUUGGCUGGUUAUUUGGACGAUUUCCAACUUAUUGGACGUGAAAAAGAAAAAUCUGAUAUUGCUGAACUAAUUGAAGAACAAGCUAGCACCCAAGAAUCUCAGGUGAUCGCUGUGUGGGGAAUGGGAGGUCUCGGAAAAACUACUCUAAUCAAAGAUGUUUACCAAAGACAAGGAGUCAGUAACACAUUUGGGAAACAUGCUUUUGUCACGGUCUUGCGCCCUUUCAAGCUUGAAGAGCUCCUUAGAAGCUUAGUAUUGCAACUAGUUGUAAGGGAAGACGCCCUGGACUUUGCUGGUGACACCCAAAAAAACAUUGGUUUGAUGGGAGUGGCAGACUUGAUUGAAGUGUUGGGCAGACGUUCAGAAGGAAAGAGGUGUUUGAUUGUUCUCGAUGACCUCUCAGCUAUGGUAGAAUGGGAUAAAAUAUCGCCAAGUUUACAUGAAAUAAAAAAUCUGGUUAUUGUGAUCACCACAAGGCGAGAGGAUAUUGCUAAACAUUGUUGCCAAAAACCAAAAUGCAUACGACUUGCUCAACGGUCUUGA